CCUACGGGUGGCAGCAGUGGGGAAUAUUGGACAAUGGGCGAAAGCCUGAUCCAGCCAUGCCGCGUGUGUGAAGAAGGCCUUCGGGUUGUAAAGCACUUUCAGUGGGGAAGAAAGCCUUGGGGCUAAUACCCUCGAGGAAGGACAUCACCCACAGAAGAAGCACCGGCUAACUCCGUGCCAGCAGCCGCGGUAAUACGGAGGGUGCGAGCGUUAAUCGGAAUUACUGGGCGUAAAGCGCGCGUAGGCGGUCUGAUAAGCCGGUUGUAAAAGCCCCGGGCUCAACCUGGGAACGGCAUCCGGAACUGUCAGGCUAGAGUGCAGGAGAGGAAGGUAGAAUUCCCGGUGUAGCGGUGAAAUGCGUAGAGAUCGGGAGGAAUACCAGUGGCGAAGGCGGCCUUCUGGACUGACACUGACGCUGAGGUGCGAAAGCGUGGGUAGCAAACAGGAUUAGAUACCCGAGUAGUC
RNAcentral lists this ribosomal RNA (465 nucleotides) under Vreelandella stevensii. RNAcentral's name for it is "partial 16S ribosomal RNA". It matches the Rfam family "Bacterial small subunit ribosomal RNA", at positions 338 to 795 of the family's 1533-position model. Lineage: Bacteria; Pseudomonadati; Pseudomonadota; Gammaproteobacteria; Oceanospirillales; Halomonadaceae. The record is from RNAcentral.